CGGGCAGUGGGUGUGCCUUGGUGGUGGAAAGGACACACCCACAUCAAGCCACACCCCCAAGCCAACUCAAGUUUGGCUUGGCUUCUGUCAUGGUCGCCAGCAUUUCUUGAGGAACAAGCAAAAAAGAGCCCAAAUCAGUGGGUGCAGUUCCCAUUUAAGUUCUGAGAACAUGGUAACCACGUUCUGGGCCCACCCCUCUCCCUUGUCUCAUCGACGGCCAACCGGCAUACAUGGUGAGGCGUCUCCUGAAAGUUCGACCUCGGAGCAGGGUGUUCCAGUACCUGGUUGACUGGUAGGGUUAUGACCGGCGGAGAGGUGCUGGGUCCCAGGCCUCAUUUCAGAUUUCCAACACCGACACCCCAGUCAACGAGAUGCAAAGCUUCGUUGCAACGAAACUAAUAAGGUUUUCCAAGUCAUGUGGGUCCUGUCAUCUAUAAAGUUUGCAGGGCUCAGUUUCACAUGGCCCAACACACUUACUGUCACGGCUGGCUGAAGGACUGGACCAAGGUGCAGCAUGGUAAAGGAAAUGGAACGGACGGCAGACGGCAGAGAGUCCCUUGAGCUGAUGAAAGUGACACCAACGCUUCCCCAGGGCUCCAGGGAUGCUGUCCCUGCACAUAGUAAAGUUAAGAGCGUUACUUUAUCCCUCCAUGACAGCCCACACUAAUGUAAAGGAACCACAGUGAAUACAGGGUAUCCAGGGACGCAAUCCCAAAACACAGUGUGACAGAA
Molecule: long non-coding RNA, 732 nt
Organism: Oncorhynchus tshawytscha (Chinook salmon)
Lineage: Eukaryota; Metazoa; Chordata; Actinopteri; Salmoniformes; Salmonidae
Exons: 5
Source: RefSeq, a predicted model, not a curated record